UCCGCAUUAGUGUAGUGGUUAACAUAUUUGUCUUUCAUCUCAAUGUGGGAGCAUCACAGAAGCCGGGGGUUCGAUUCCCCCAUGCGGAG
RNAcentral lists this transfer RNA (89 nucleotides) under Penicillium brasilianum. It matches the Rfam family "tRNA". Rfam says of the family: Transfer RNA (tRNA) molecules are approximately 80 nucleotides in length. The record is from Rfam by way of RNAcentral. Lineage: Eukaryota; Fungi; Ascomycota; Eurotiomycetes; Eurotiales; Aspergillaceae.